AGCCGUGUUUCGAGUUCCUCCGGAACACCCGGGAUUUUUCGUAUUUAGCCACGCCGGUCACGUGAUAUGAGCAAAAUGUUCCACAGGGGUACUUCCGGUUAAUUUUGUUUACACUGGUAACAAAAUUGUUUUUGACAAAAUAUAGAUUUUGCGGCACAAACUGUCGCAAAUCAGAUAAAGGAUAGCAAGGGAUAUAUAUUUACUUGGGAAGAUGUCAAAGUUUACCUUUUCCCAAACCCGGGAAAAGCGUUCACGCAGAGGAAACGAUGGCGUCAUUUGUGAAGAAAACCACGAGCAGCCGAAAUUGAGUGCGAUUAUUACAUUCCGUGAAAGCUGAACCAACAAAGGAACAUCAUUGUUCUAGCAAGUUUCCUUAUAUUAACUUUUAGGAAAACCAAGAGGUUGAUAACAAUGGCUGAUCUGCAUAUAAUGACUGCUAGUUAUUGGCUGGUAUGCAGUGAAAGGGAGCUAAAAAGGAGUAAAAAGUUCAUAUCAGCCAGGUGAGAAUUAAUUUCUUCUUUUUUGUGUGUUAUACAUAUGUAAUUCUUUUCUUUUGCUGCUUCAAAUCUUGUGUAUUUGAAAAUUUUCAGUCAAAUAUUUUGGCAAUGUUAUAGGUAGUGUGGCAUAAAUAAACCACUGUUAAGGAAUAUCCAGUAAUGGCAUGACAUCAUGAGAGUUUGGCAUACCGACAUUCAGAUGAUUAAUGAUGAAACUGAAGACCUCAAGUGAAAGGCAUGGAAAAUGAUCCUGUUCCCAUAUACCUGAAAAAGAGGAGGGAUGCCACAAUAUUGAUAAUAGACUUUUGUCAAUUUGAGAAGCAAAGAUGUAAAAAAAAAAAAAAAAAAAAAUAAUGCUGAAAUUAUAAUUCAUGUAUUUGUUAAAAAUACUGUUCACUGUACAUACAUGUAUAUUUUUUAAAACUUAUUUUUAAAUACAUGAAGUAAUUCAUAUUAAAACUGUGAAUGUAUGAG
Molecule: long non-coding RNA, 971 nt
Organism: Ostrea edulis (European flat oyster)
Lineage: Eukaryota; Metazoa; Mollusca; Bivalvia; Ostreida; Ostreidae
Exons: 2
Source: RefSeq, a predicted model, not a curated record